AGCAAUUGUACGGCGAAACUGCGAAUGGCUCAUUAAAUCAGUUAUCGUUUAUUUGAUAGUACCUCUCCUACUUGGAUAACCGUGGUAAUUCUAGAGCUAAUACAUGCUAAAAAUCCCGACUUCGGAAGGGAUGCAUUUAUCAGAUACAGAACCAAUGCCCUCCGGGGCUCUCUGGUGAAUCAUGAUAACUCCGCGGAUCGCACGGCCUUGCGCCGGCGAUGGUUCAUUCAAAUUUCUGCCCUAUCAACUUUCGACGGCUGGGUCUUGGCCAGCCGUGGUGACAACGGGUAACGGAGGGUUAGGGCUUGACCCCGGAGAAGGAGCCUGAGAGACGGCUACUACAUCCAAGGAAGGCAGCAGGCGCGCAAAUUACCCAAUCCCGACUCGGGGAGGUAGUGACAAUAAAUACUGAUCCAGGGCUCUUUUGGGUCUUGGAAUUGGAAUGAGUACAAUUUAAAUCCCUUAACGAUCACCAAUUGGAGGGCAAGUCUGGUGCCAGCAGCCGCGGUAAUUCCAGCUCCAAUAGCGUAUAUUAAAGUUGUUGAGGUUAAAAAGCUCGUAGUUGAACCUUGGGCCUGGCUGGCCGGUCCGCCUCACCGCGUGCACUGGUCCGGCCGGGCCUUUCCCUCUGGGGAACCGCAUGCCCUUCGCUGGGUGUGCUGGGGAACCAGGACGUUUACUCUGAACAAAUCAGAUCGCUCAAAGAAGGCUCUCGCUCGAAUGCAUUAGCAUGGAAUAAUGGAAUAGGACGUGCGGUUCUAUUUUGUUGGUUUCUAGGACCGCCGUAAUGAUCAAUAGGGACAGUCGGGGGCAUCCGUAUUCAGUUGUCAGAGGUGAAAUUCUUGGAUCUACUGAAGACGAACUACUGCGAAAGCAUUUGCCAAGGAUGUUUUCAUUAAUCAGGAACGAAAGUUAGGGGAUCGAAGACGAUCAGAUACCGUCGUAGUCUUAACCAUAAACUAUGCCGAUUAGGGAUCGGACGAUGCUAUUUUUUGGCUCGUUCGGCACCUUACGACAAAUCAAAAUG
This 1027-nucleotide ribosomal RNA is filed under the name Neocirrenalia nigrospora. Its description in RNAcentral is "SSU rRNA". It matches the Rfam family "Eukaryotic small subunit ribosomal RNA", at positions 68 to 1105 of the family's 1831-position model. The record is from RNAcentral. Lineage: Eukaryota; Fungi; Ascomycota; Sordariomycetes; Chaetosphaeriales; Chaetosphaeriaceae.